Molecule: ribosomal RNA, 247 nt
Filed under: uncultured bacterium
Lineage: Bacteria
Description: partial 16S ribosomal RNA
Rfam family: Bacterial small subunit ribosomal RNA
Source: RNAcentral
UACGUAGGGUGCGAGCGUUAAUCGGAAUUACUGGGCGUAAAGCGUGCGCAGGCGGGCUUUUAAGCCAGACGUGAAAUCCCCGGGCUUAACCUGGGAAUGGCGUUUGGGACUGGAAGUCUGGAGUGCGGCAGAGGAGACUGGAAUUCCUGGUGUAGCAGUGAAAUGCGUAGAUAUCAGGAGGAACACCGAUGGCGAAGGCAGGUCUCUGGGCUGACACUGAUGAGCGAAAGCGUGGGGAGCGAUCCGG